GUCUAUGGCCAUAUCACCCUGAAAGCGCCCCAUCUCAUCUGAUCUCAGAUGCUAAGCAGGGUGGGGCCUGGUUACUACUUGGAUGGGAGACAAGAGACCCAACUAUAGCCU
This is a ribosomal RNA of Panthera pardus (leopard), 111 nucleotides long. Lineage: Eukaryota; Metazoa; Chordata; Mammalia; Carnivora; Felidae. The record is from Ensembl.